GAAGCGGCAAGAGCUCAAAUUUGAAAUCUGGCCUCCCUUGGGGGGUCCGAGUUGUAAUUUGUAGAGGAUGCUUCGGGUGUGGCCGCCGUCUAAGUUCCUUGGAACAGGACGUCGUAGAGGGUGAGAAUCCCGUCUUGGGCGGCCGGUCCGCGCCCGUGUGAAGCUCCUUCGACGAGUCGAGUUGUUUGGGAAUGCAGCUCUAAGCGGGUGGUAAAUUUCAUCUAAAGCUAAAUACUGGCCGGAGACCGAUAGCGCACAAGUAGAGUGAUCGAAAGGUUAAAAGCACCUUGAAAAGGGAGUUAAACAGCACGUGAAAUUGUUGAAAGGGAAGCGCUUGCGGCCAGACUCGAGGGGCGGGGUUCAGCGGGUGCGCGUCACCCGUGCACUCCCCGUCCCCCCGGGCCAGCAUCAGUUUCGACGGCCGGUCAAAGGCCCCCGGAAUGUGUCGUCUCUAGGGACGUCUUAUAGCCGGGGGUGCAAUGCGGCCCGCCGGGACUGAGGAACGCGCUCCGGCUCGGAUGC
This 522-nucleotide ribosomal RNA is filed under the name Microsporum canis. RNAcentral describes it as "eukaryotic LSU rRNA". It matches the Rfam family "Eukaryotic large subunit ribosomal RNA", at positions 95 to 626 of the family's 3401-position model. The record is from RNAcentral. Lineage: Eukaryota; Fungi; Ascomycota; Eurotiomycetes; Onygenales; Arthrodermataceae.